GGACGCAUGCCGGGUGCUAUACAUGCAGUCGAGCGACUGACGAGGAGCUUGCUCCUUUGACGUUAGCGGCGGACGGGUGAGUAACACGUGGGUAACCUACCUAUAAGACUGGAAUAACUCCGGGAAACCGGGGCUAAUGCCGGAUAACAUAUCGAACCGCAUGGUUCGAUAGUGAAAGACGGUCUUGCUGUCACUUAUAGAUGGACCCGCGCCGUAUUAGCUAGUUGGUGAGGUAACGGCUCACCAAGGCAACGAUACGUAGCCGACCUGAGAGGGUGAUCGGCCACACUGGAACUGAGACACGGUCCAGACUCCUACGGGAGGCAGCAGUAGGGAAUCUUCCGCAAUGGGCGAAAGCCUGACGGAGCAACGCCGCGUGAGUGAUGAAGGUCUUCGGAUCGUAAAGCUCUGUUGUUAGGGAAGAACAAAUGUGUAAGUAACUGUGCACAUCUUGACGGUACCUAACCAGAAAGCCACGGCUAACUACGUGCCAGCAGCCGCGGUAAUACGUAGGUGGCAAGCGUUAUCCGGAAUUAUUGGGCGUAAAGCGCGCGUAGGCGGUUUUUUAAGUCUGAUGUGAAAGCCCACGGCUCAACCGUGGAGGGUCAUUGGAAACUGGAAAACUUGAGUGCAGAAGAGGAAAGUGGAAUUCCAUGUGUAGCGGUGAAAUGCGCAGAGAUAUGGAGGAACACCAGUGGCGAAGGCGGCUUUCUGGUCUGUAACUGACGCUGAUGUGCGAAAGCGUGGGGAUCAAACAGGAUUAGAUACCCUGGUAGUCCACGCCGUAAACGAUGAGUGCUAAGUGUUAGGGGGUUUCCGCCCCUUAGUGCUGCAGCUAACGCAUUAAGCACUCCGCCUGGGGAGUACGGUCGCAAGACUGAAACUCAAAGGAAUUGACGGGGACCCGCACAAGCGGUGGAGCAUGUGGUUUAAUUCGAAGCAACGCGAAGAACCUUACCAAAUCUUGACAUCUUUUGACCACUCUAGAGAUAGAGUUUUCCUCUUCGGAGGACAAAAUGACAGGUGGUGCAUGGUUGUCGUCAGCUCGUGUCGUGAGAUGUUGGGUUAAGUCCCGCAACGAGCGCAACCCUUGAGCUUAGUUGCCAUCAUUAAGUUGGGCACUCUAAGUUGACUGCCGGUGACAAACCGGAAGGAAGGUGGGGGAUGACGUCAAAUCAUCC
RNAcentral lists this ribosomal RNA (1181 nucleotides) under Staphylococcus chromogenes. RNAcentral describes it as "bacterial SSU rRNA". It matches the Rfam family "Bacterial small subunit ribosomal RNA", at positions 31 to 1195 of the family's 1533-position model. The record is from RNAcentral. Lineage: Bacteria; Bacillati; Bacillota; Bacilli; Caryophanales; Staphylococcaceae.